This 437-nucleotide ribosomal RNA is filed under the name uncultured Oscillospiraceae bacterium. RNAcentral describes it as "partial 16S ribosomal RNA". It matches the Rfam family "Bacterial small subunit ribosomal RNA", at positions 341 to 792 of the family's 1533-position model. Lineage: Bacteria; Bacillati; Bacillota; Clostridia; Eubacteriales; Oscillospiraceae. The record is from RNAcentral.
ACGGAAGGCAGCAGUCGGGAAUAUUGCGCAAUGGAGGAAACUCUGACGCAGUGACGCCGCGUAUAGGAAGAAGGUUUUCGGGUUGUAAACUAUUGUCGUUAGGGAAGAAAAAAAUGACAGUACCUAAGGAGGAAGCUCCGGCUAACUAUGUGCCAGCAGCCGCGGUAAUACAUAGGGAGCGAGCGUUAUCCGGAUUUAUUGGGUGUAAAGGGUGCGUAGACGGGAAAUUAAGUUAGUUGUGAAAUCCCUCGGCUUAACUGAGGAACUGCAACUAAAACUAAUAUUCUUGAGUGUCGGGGGGGAAAGUGGAAUUCCUAGUGUAGCGGUGAAAUGCGUAGAUAUUAGGAGGAACACCGGUGGCGAAGGCGACUUUCUGGACGAUAACUGACGUUGAUGCACGAAAGUGUGGGGAGCAAACAGGAUUAGAUACCCUGGUA